GGCCUCCCGGCUGGGUGCAUUCCUGCUUCAGCAGAGUCAUCCCAUCUGUGGCUUCCAUGGCGCUCCUUCCUCAGCUGCCUGUCCCGAUCCCUUUCCCCCACCAAAAAAAAAAAAAAGAUUCCUAAAAGCUGCGCAAGACUCCCAAGACCACCCAGGGUGGCAGAUGUUCAGUUGGGGAACGCAACCCUCUUCAAGCAACUGGAGUGACCCAAGUACCCUCUUCCUAAGAAAAUGGGCCUGAGGGGCCUGGCGAAGUGAAGCCGGGGCUCCACGCACCACAUCACCUACGGCCCUGCCUCUGUGAAGUGAUGAUGGAAGGUCACAAGGCAUUGGGCAGAGCUGGGAGCAGACUCGGGUCUCCAAUGCCAACCUCCUUGGUCACGGAGGCCAGUUCUCCGAGCUCCUUCCAACCUUUUGUUUUCUCCAUCACAAGUGGCCUGCACCUUCAUUGUUCAUGAAGCAGCCACCAUCUGAGGGACUGCAUGCACUACAGAGUCAACCCAGCCCCCUCCACCUGUGCCCUCUCCAGUCACUCCAAAACUGGGGAUGGAUCUUGUGGCUGAACCCAAAGACAGGGUCCACAUAGGAACCAGUCAUGAAGAGAAGGCUCUUCUCAGGCACUGGCCAAAGGCUAUGGCACAGGGAAUUUCCAAGCAGCAAUUGACUAAAGGCAGAACCCAGAGGGCCCCAACAACCACACAAUGGUAUGCAUUCAAAACAGCUGAGGCCACACACAGGGGCUCACACUGGAAUUCCAGCACUUGGGGAGGCCAGGGUGAGAGGAUCGCUUGAGGCCAGGAGUUCGAGACCAGCCUGGGCAAAAAAGCAAGUUUCCAUCACUACAAAAAAUUAAAAAAUUAAAAUAAAAAUUAGCUGCGUGUGGUGGCAUGCACCUGUAGUCCCAGCUACUCAAGAGACUGAGAUAGGAGGAUCACUUGAGGCCAGGAGUUCGAGGUUGCAGUAAGCCAUGAUGGCAACACUGUGCUCCAGCCUGGGUGACA
This 1001-nucleotide long non-coding RNA is filed under the name Homo sapiens (human). RNAcentral's name for it is "HSALNT0405968". The record is from RNAcentral. Lineage: Eukaryota; Metazoa; Chordata; Mammalia; Primates; Hominidae.